GGGUAGAUCUCCCACCCUUGAAUAUUUAUACCUUAGUUGCUUUGGCAGGCCGUGGAAACACCAUGGGCUCCGGCUUAUGCGUGCCUGCCAGAGGAAACAAACUCUGUUUUUAGUGAUGUCUGAGUACUAUAUAAUAGUUAAAACUUUCAACAACGGAUCUCUUGGUUCUGGCAUCGAUGAAGAACGCAGCGAAAUGCGAUAAGUAAUGUGAAUUGCAGAAUUCAGUGAAUCAUCGAAUCUUUGAACGCACAUUGCGCCCCUUGGUAUUCCGAGGGGCAUGCCUGUUCGAGCGUCAUUAUAACCACUCAAGCCUAGCUUGGUAUUGGGGUUCGCGUGCUCGCGGCCCUUAAAAUCAGUGGCGGUGCCGUCUGGCUCUAAGCGUAGUAAUUCUCUCGCUAUAGAGUCCCGGCGGCUACCUGCCAGAACCCCCCCUCUUUUAAGGUUGACCUCGGAUCAGGUAGGGAUACCCGCUGAACUUAAGCAUAU
This 486-nucleotide ribosomal RNA is filed under the name uncultured Helotiales. Its description in RNAcentral is "eukaryotic LSU rRNA". The stretch from base 142 to 295 matches the Rfam family "5.8S ribosomal RNA". Lineage: Eukaryota; Fungi; Ascomycota; Leotiomycetes; Helotiales. The record is from RNAcentral.